Molecule: long non-coding RNA, 1177 nt
Organism: Oryza sativa Japonica Group (Japanese rice)
Lineage: Eukaryota; Viridiplantae; Streptophyta; Magnoliopsida; Poales; Poaceae
Source: RefSeq, a predicted model, not a curated record
CCAGAAACCCUAGCCGCCACUGUUCCCCACCGUUCUCUCGCUCUCUCCCCUCCCUUGAGCGACGGCGCCACAUCGUCUUCCCUUCCCCUACUUCUCCUCGCCGCCGACGGCUUCCCCUCGCGGUCUCCCCGCCGUCCCCCAUCUCCUGCCCACCCCUCUCCCCUUCACCCUCUUCCGAGUCAAGCAAAGGAGAGAGAACCCACGCCUCCUAGACUCACGAACCAGUCGCCGCCUCCGUUCUUAUUGUUUUCUCUUUUUCCCCUAUUUCUCUCUACCUGGGGAGGUGACUCUACCAUUGCGCCGCCGUAGUUGGUGGUGAUAGCCUAGCUGGAGUGGCGAUGGAGGCGGGAGAUGGUUCAUGGACCUGCGGCGGCGACGCCUACGACCGUCGAGCUCUGGUACCCAUGGACCGCCGACGCUUCCAUUGGAAGGGCAUGAGCCAUCAGUGCUAAGCUCCAAUGCUGAUUACGAAGAAUCCCAUGUAAGCCAUCAGUUCUUGAGCCUAAGCUGCUAGAUCUCCUUUUCCCCUGUAUUCCUACGCUGUCAUGCAUGUUCUGCCUGCAAUGCGAGGAGGCUUGGGAUGACCGCCACAGCGGCUGCGAAGGAGCCACUUCCCGAGCAGUCGUGCCAUGAUCGAUAAGAGUGAUCGAUGGAUGCGAGCGUAUGGUGUCCAUUGUGCAGUCGUGCAGGCUUUCCCUAUAAAUUAAUUGACAGGAGGAAGAAAUCACAGGUGGUUUACCAAUUUCAAUGACAUUUUAUAGUUCAUCAAAGAAUUGAACUUCUAUAUGGUAGCCGGGCAAAUAGCAGGGAUGUUUCUUUCUCUACACCUGUAUCUUGGCUGAUCAUUUAGUUUCUUUCUAUAUAUAUAUGCUGUUAAUUGCUCUAUGAAGCAUAAUAAGUUCUCAUGGCUUCUGGAUUUACACUUAGCUGAUUUUAUCUCGCAGAAUUCAACCACUUUUUUUUUUAUCGUCACAUAGAUGUAAGAUUUCAGGUUAUGUGAUGGUCACAAACUUCAGAAUUCAAGUUGUAUUAGCCUAUGUUGGAACGAAGACCUUCAGAAGAACUAUAUGUAAUAUAAACGGUGUAAAUGAUGUAAAUGUUGUGACACUUAGUCUUUCCAACUAUAUUCUUUCAAUGCUUACCGAAUAUGUGAACAAUUGAUUAAUGUUUCUCUGCC